GGAAGAGUGAGCAGAAUUUGGUAUUGUCCCUGUUUGCUAAACAGGUUUCGUCCCUCGGGAUGUGUGGGUUCGAGUCCCACCUCUUCCGCCA
This 91-nucleotide transfer RNA is filed under the name Bacteroidota bacterium. Its description in RNAcentral is "Bacteroidetes bacterium (activated sludge metagenome) tRNA-Ser". It matches the Rfam family "tRNA". Rfam says of the family: Transfer RNA (tRNA) molecules are approximately 80 nucleotides in length. Their secondary structure includes four short double-helical elements and three loops (D, anti-codon, and T loops). The record is from RNAcentral. Lineage: Bacteria; Pseudomonadati; Bacteroidota.